UGGUGGAGUGAUUUGUCUGGUUAAUUCCGUUAACGAACGAGACCUUAGCCUACUAACUAGUCGAUUCAACUCCGGUUGACUUUGACUUCUUAGAGGGACUUUGUGUGUCAAGCACAAGGAAGUUUGAGGCAAUAACA
RNAcentral lists this ribosomal RNA (137 nucleotides) under uncultured eukaryote. Its description in RNAcentral is "partial 18S ribosomal RNA". It matches the Rfam family "Eukaryotic small subunit ribosomal RNA", at positions 1299 to 1458 of the family's 1831-position model. The record is from RNAcentral.